RNAcentral lists this ribosomal RNA (194 nucleotides) under uncultured Glomeraceae. RNAcentral describes it as "partial 18S ribosomal RNA". It matches the Rfam family "Eukaryotic small subunit ribosomal RNA", at positions 569 to 766 of the family's 1831-position model. Lineage: Eukaryota; Fungi; Glomeromycota; Glomeromycetes; Glomerales; Glomeraceae. The record is from RNAcentral.
AGCAGCCGCGGUAAUUCCAGCUCCAAUAGCGUAUAUUAAAGUUGUUGUGGUUAAAAAGCUCGUAGUUGAACCUGGGCCCCGCGCCGGCCGGUCCGCCUCACCGCGUGCACUGGUCCGGCCGGGGCUUUCACUCUGGGGGUGCGCAUGCCCUUCGCUGGGCGUGUGAGGAACCAGGACUUUUACUUUGAAAAAAU